UACGGCCAUACCACUCUGAACGUGCCUGAGCUCAUCUGAUCUCAGGAGCUGAGCAGGGUCAGGCCUGGUUAGUACUUGGAUGGAAAAGCAGAAGAUAAUUAAGGAAAGGCCAAGC
Molecule: ribosomal RNA, 115 nt
Filed under: Neogale vison (American mink)
Lineage: Eukaryota; Metazoa; Chordata; Mammalia; Carnivora; Mustelidae
Source: RNAcentral